Molecule: long non-coding RNA, 821 nt
Organism: Musa acuminata AAA Group (dessert banana)
Lineage: Eukaryota; Viridiplantae; Streptophyta; Magnoliopsida; Zingiberales; Musaceae
Exons: 3
Source: RefSeq, a predicted model, not a curated record
UCGAGUGAAUUCGUGACGUAAGUCGUGGCACAAGGAGAUCUCCGUCCGUGACUGCCUGCCACCGAACCUUCUUUCUCGAUCUCCUGACGUCUCCGCUCCAUCGCCGGCGCCCUCCGCCGCCUGGCCCCUCUAGGUUGCGCUCUUGUCGUCGUCGACGACGUCGUAUUCUCCGGUUUCGUCUCAUGUUUUCACCCUGGCUUCAUGGCCGCCGUGUCCUCUGACGAUUGGCUUCUCCAUCGAAGGACCGCCACUUGCAUCUUUGUCCCCGGAGGAAUAGGCAGGCAUUGCCGCGCUUCCGACCGACGCCGUUGGGCAAGAAUGAACUGUUCAUUUAUUUUUAGGGCAAACCCCAAUAUCCAGUUCAUCAUCUUCCACACAACUGUAGGUUCUCUACUGGUGGAAACGACCAGGAAUCGAUUUGGAAUCUGCUCAUUCGGAUGCUACAACAGGCUGUUUAGAGCAAUCAAGUCAACCAAAGUCUCAAGCUCCAUUCCAGUCUCAAUAGAAACAUACAAGAAAGUGCUUUCGGAAUAACUGCAUUUGGAGACGAUCUAUGAUUUGGAUGUGGAUGUAGCAUAUAAGUCGAGAUCAAGGAUGCAAAGAUGUCUUUAGGUGUUUCUCUCUGAUCUUUUCUUUCUCUACCAUGAGAGUGAUUUGUAAAUUUCACAUGUAAGAGAAAGUACUGAACACUCUUUGAUUUGUUUCCCAGUUGUAAUGGGCUCCCAAUGUCCUAAAGCUAAAAACUGGGUUAGCAUUUGUCUCUCAUGUACUGUUAAAAUGCAUAAUAAACUCAACAUCUCUGUUCUUGUUGUUGCAGGUAA